RNAcentral lists this ribosomal RNA (440 nucleotides) under uncultured bacterium. RNAcentral's name for it is "partial 16S ribosomal RNA". It matches the Rfam family "Bacterial small subunit ribosomal RNA", at positions 338 to 795 of the family's 1533-position model. The record is from RNAcentral.
CCUACGGGAGGCUGCAGUGGGGGAUAUUGCUCAAUGGGCGGAACCCUGAACCAGCGACGCCGCGUGAGGGAAGAAGCGCCUCGGCGCGUAAAGCCCUUUCAGCAGGGAAGAAAAUGACGGUACGUGAAGAAGAAGCCCCGGCUAACUACGUGACAGCAGCCGCGGUAAUACGUCGGGGGCAAGCGUUAUCCGGAUGUACUGGGUGUAAAGGGGGCGCAGACGGCGAUGCAAGCCAGGAGUGAAAGCCCGGGGCCCAACCCCGGGACUGCUGUUGGAACUGCGUGGCUGGAGUGGAGGAGGGGGAGGCGGAAUUCCUGGUGUAGCGGUGAAAUGCGUAGAUAUCAGGAGGAACACCGGUGGCGAAGGCGGCCUGCUGGACUGCAACUGACGUUGAGGCCCGAAAGCGUGGGGAGCAAACAGGAUUAGAUACCCUAGUAGUC